RNAcentral lists this ribosomal RNA (486 nucleotides) under uncultured bacterium. RNAcentral describes it as "partial 16S ribosomal RNA". It matches the Rfam family "Bacterial small subunit ribosomal RNA", at positions 28 to 507 of the family's 1533-position model. The record is from RNAcentral.
GAUGAACGCUGGCGGCGUGCCUAAUACAUGCAAGUCGAACGCUGGAAAUCUAGCUUGCUAGAUUGAAGGAGUGGCGAACGGGUGAGUAAUACAUAAGCAACCUACCCACGAAGACUGGGAUAAUCUCUGGAAACGGGGACUAAUACCGGAUAGGUAAUCGGAAGGCAUCUUCUGAUUAUUAAAGGUUAAAAACACUGGUGGAUGGGCUUAUGGCGCAUUAGUUAGUUGGUGAGGUAACGGCCCACCAAGACGAUGAUGCGUAGCCGGCCUGAGAGGGUGAACGGCCACAUUGGGACUGAGGCACGGCCCAGACUCCUACGGGAGGCAGCAGUAGGGAAUUUUCAGCAAUGGGGGAAACCCUGACCGAGCAACGCCGCGUGAGUGAUGACGGCCUUCGGGUUGUAAAGCUCUGUUGUAAGGGAAGAACGGUAGAUAGAGAAUAUCUAAAUGACGGUACCUUACCAGAAAGCCACGGCUAACUACGUG